Long non-coding RNA from Pogonomyrmex barbatus (red harvester ant), 1114 nucleotides. Lineage: Eukaryota; Metazoa; Arthropoda; Insecta; Hymenoptera; Formicidae. The record is from RefSeq and is a predicted model, not a curated record.
UAUAUAUUCGCUGCUUUAAAAUACUUCGAAAUACUUCGGAAAUACUUUUAACUAUUUUUACCUAAAUAUUAAAAUUUUAUAGAAUAUCUAAAAAAAUGUAUGUAGUGUUUCUAAAAGUUUAAAAGCAGCGAAUUUAAAGCGCGAAAAUAUCGACCCGCGGGACACACAAUAAAUCUACAACACAAGUUGGUUUGAUGCUUCUCUCUGAUAUUCCAAAAGAAGAAAUUUUCCAGCGAGGACAAUUUGCUUAGAAAUCCGGAAUAAAUUCAGAGUUGUUACGCAUCGAUGCCGCUUAUCGCCUUUAUCGCAAAGAGAACUAUACUAUCAUACCCCGAGCGUGAAUCAACCUUUACGCUCAUACCCCUCGAUUCUCCCCUAUGUUGCGUUUCUACCGUGUGUUCAACCACAUAGCGAGACGCUAUCGCCUUCUAUAUCCAAACUCCACGACAAGUGCGCCAAAGUAAUCGAGUCAGGCCGCCAUAUGCCUUCGCCUACGACACGCGAUCGUAAGCAUUGAACUUCUCGCGUGAAACAUCAAUGUUUCUUCUGCUAACGUUGGGACGUAUGUUUCUUCGUUGUAUUUGCAACGUUGUAUGGUGCAUCUAAAUUCGCCCCGGACAGAUGAAGAUGAAGAUUAUACAGUCGGAUUUUACAACGGAAAGUUGCGCUUUCUAGAAAUGAAGUUCAACGUAUUUGUAAGAAAGUUCACGACGUUAUAGUCUCACGAGGGGAUUGCAAUCCUUGAUGGCGCGUCGAGUUGCGAAAUAAAGAAACGAGGGUAUAAGCAAGAUAUACCAGGAAAUAUAUUUGCGCGUUGAGACUUUACGACAACGAUAGAGAGUAAAGCUACGAAAUAAGCGAAACUAGUUCCUUAACUAUGCGACGAGACCAUUGGUAAUAAACUUCCGUGAUCUAAAUCAUCUGCAUUACGUACGUAAAACAUUGUUCUUUGAAUUCAAAAAUAAAAAUCGGAAACAUAUACAUUAUAUUUUAUAUAAAAUGAUAGAAAUUGCAUUAAAAAAACUGAAAGAAUUAUUUGUAAAAAUUCAUCCAGACAGUGACUAUUUACUUCUUUCAAUAUAUAUACACAUAUGAGGGAGAGAGAGAGAGAGAG